This 621-nucleotide ribosomal RNA is filed under the name Triticum aestivum (bread wheat). RNAcentral describes it as "partial small subunit ribosomal RNA". The record is from RNAcentral. Lineage: Eukaryota; Viridiplantae; Streptophyta; Magnoliopsida; Poales; Poaceae.
AUGAUCAACAACUUGAAUAUCCUGAGUUGGAAUUGCCGAGGAGGCGGGAACUCCCAAACUGCUCCUGAUUUUGUGAGCUUGGUGCAGACCCACUCCCCUAGUAUUGUUUUCCUUUGUGAAACUAGGUAGUCAAAGGAUAGAAUGAAAAUAUAUAGACCUCGACUAGGGUUAAGUGGCUUUGAAGCAGUUGAUAGUGUUGGUUUUAGUGGAGGCCUUGCUCUCUAUUGGCAUGAGUCAUUGAACCUCGAAGUCAAAUCUAUGAAUGAAAGAUGUAUUGAUGCUUAUGUGAGUAGUGUUGCAGGCGAGCCCCCUUGGAGGAUUACAUGCGUCUAUGGCGAGCCUCGGACGGAGGACCGACACAACAUGUGGUCUCUCCUCCGCGAUCUUCACCAACAAGUAGACAUGUCGUGGGCGAUUAUUGGAGACUUCAACAAGGCCAUGUGGGGCUUUGAACAUCUCUUCCAAACGCCUCGCUCAGCAGGUCAGAUGAUUGAUUUUUGUGAUGUUUUGGAGUUGUGUGGUCUCGAUGAUCUUGGCUAUUCAAGGGUGCCGUACAUAUAUGACAACCAUCGGUUUGGACGAGCAAAUGUGAAAGUCCAUCUAGACCGUGCGAUGGCGUGA